UACAGAGGGUGCAAGCGUUAAUCGGAAUUACUGGGCGUAAAGGGCGCGUAGGCGGUUGAUUAAGUUGGAUGUGAAAUCCCUGGGCUUAACCUAGGAACUGCAUCCGAUACUGGUCAGCUAGAGUGCGGUAGAGGGUAGUGGAAUUUCCGGUGUAGCGGUGAAAUGCGCAGAUAUCGGAAGGAACACCAGUGGCGAAGGCGGCUACCUGGACUGACACUGACGCUGAGGCGCGAGAGCGUGGGGAGCAAACAGG
This 253-nucleotide ribosomal RNA is filed under the name uncultured bacterium. Its description in RNAcentral is "partial 16S ribosomal RNA". It matches the Rfam family "Bacterial small subunit ribosomal RNA", at positions 524 to 776 of the family's 1533-position model. The record is from RNAcentral.